GAAAUGCGAUAAGUAAUGUGAAUUGCAGAAUUCAGUGAAUCAUCGAAUCUUUGAACGCACAUUGCGCCCGCCAGUAUUCUGGCGGGCAUGCCUGUUCGAGCGUCAUUUCAACCAUCAAGCCCCGGGCUUGUGUUGGGGACCUGCGGCUGCCGCAGGCCCCGAAAACCAGUGGCGGGCUCGCUGUCACACCGGGCGUAGUAGAUUUUUCGUCUCGCCCAGGGCGUGCUGCGGGUUCCGGCCGUUAAAAAGCCUCUCUUUUAACCCAAGGUUGACCUCGGAUCAGGUAGGAAGACCCGCUGAACUUAAGC
Molecule: unclassified non-coding RNA, 308 nt
Filed under: plant metagenome
Description: partial contains 5.8S ribosomal RNA, internal transcribed spacer 2, and large subunit ribosomal RNA
Rfam family: 5.8S ribosomal RNA (bases 1-105)
Source: RNAcentral